GACCAUCGAGACCAGGGACCAUCAUGGACCAUCGUGACCAGGGACCAUCGAGACCAGGGACCAUCGAGACCAGGGACCAUCAUGGACCAUCGGACCAUCGAGACCAGGGACCAUCAUGGACCAUCGUGACCAGGGACCAUCGUGACCAGGGACCAUCAUGGACCAUUGUGACCAGGGACCAUCGUGACCAUGUGAGCAUCAGGUGACUCCAUCAUAUUAAGCAUAAAAAUAUAUAUUUUUAAUAAAA
Molecule: long non-coding RNA, 247 nt
Organism: Gadus macrocephalus (Pacific cod)
Lineage: Eukaryota; Metazoa; Chordata; Actinopteri; Gadiformes; Gadidae
Exons: 2
Source: RefSeq, a predicted model, not a curated record